Molecule: long non-coding RNA, 12789 nt
Organism: Lagopus leucura (white-tailed ptarmigan)
Lineage: Eukaryota; Metazoa; Chordata; Aves; Galliformes; Phasianidae
Exons: 8
Source: RefSeq, a predicted model, not a curated record
CAAAACAGGAGGCUUCAGUCUUCCAACAGGAAAGAAAAUGCUUUGCUUUUGCCAGCUGUUGUUGUUUUCCUUACUCUGUUGUUUCCUCCCAGUGUGCUGUGACUUCUUUGUUCUCUGGAGAAAACAAACUUUGUGGGGAGAGCAGCCUUUAUUAAUGAAAGCAAACAGCCGCUGCUUUGUUAUUGUCUGUAUGAUGCCCUGAUAAUGUUUUGCAAACAUAAUUCCUGCUAUGCUGGAAGGAGUCUCGUGACUGGACGUUGGGAGAGCAGCGAUGGCUUGUGGAGGUUAUUGGGCUUAUGGUAGUUUGGAUAUAUGUGCUGCAUUUCAUUGUGCAACGAUCGAAAGCAGAACUCCAGGAGAUCAAGAAGGCAACUAAAUAACGUGUUUUCAAAGGGACGUAAACUGAAAAAGCAAGUGCCAUUGCCAGCUGUAAACAUUGCCUUCUCCUCUCUUUGGCUGAAAAAAGUAGUACCUCUAAUGACUAAACAAACAAGAUUUUUACCAUCAUUACUGGGAGGGGUGUGAAACAAAGGAAACCUGCACAGCUGAGCAGGCCCCAUGUUGGCACAGCACAGUGUACAGUUGGAUUACCACAGAGGAGUCAGUCAGGUUUGGUUAGGGAAGCCAAUGGAAGCCCUCCUUCACCCUGAGGCCUUGACCCCUUGGUAAAGCGUGCAAUGACUUGAAUUUUGUUGGACAUCUUAUCCUCGGGUUGCUUUGAUUCAGAGCCUGAGUUCCCCAUACACAUCUAUUUCUGUGGGGAGGCAAAGGGAGAAGAAGAUGACAACUUAUCUGCGAAUUUGGACCAUGCUGUUCAGGAAGCGUUUCUAUGCCGUUGUGCUCCAGGAUGUGCUGAGGAGCCUCAGCAUCUAUGUCUACAUUGGCCUGCAUGCUGGGCUUUUCAUUCUCCCACUUUGCAAAGCCUUUGUUCUUCCCAGCUUUGCCGUGGAACUUGGACUUCAUUUUUGGGAAAGUGUGAGACCCUGAAUCACUCCAGCCCGGUUCGUGCCACAGCGGUUCUGUCUGCGUUGCUUGGCUGGCUGUCGCCCUCUGCAGCCGCACUGAAAUCUUCCGGGAGGAGCCGGUGACAAGAGUGAUGGCUCUGCCAUCGAGGUCCUGCUGUUCUGCAUCGACGCUGGGAAACUCAAACACUUCAUCCUGGGCUGAACAAGAAGCUCAGCCACUGAUGCAUUGCAUGGACAGCAAGCCUGCAGGUACAGGCAUGGGGAUGUACAUGAUAUGGACAGUGCUGCCAGCAGACCUUUUCCUGACCCCAGGGUAUGUAUUUCAGGAUGUCUCCCUGCUAGGAUAAGGACACUCGGCUUUCCAAGAUGCCACUACUUGUUGGCACAAACUGACACCUUGCAGAUCCCUUGAAGAUGCCAGGGGCUGCUGAGGGGGAGGCCUUCAGCACUGGUGUUCUCCUGCUACAGUGAGGCUUUGUGGGAUGCAGCAACCACUUGCUGGUCAAAGCCAGUGUGGGCUACUCAAGCAAAAUCUGGCUGCCACUUCAGUGAAAAAGACAGUUGACUUCUGCUAAAACCCACCACCUGAAUUGUGAAAAAUCCAUGCAGUAUAUUUAUUUACCUUUACAUUUGUAGCCUUGUUUGAUUAUACCCCAGAGCUGCAAAGACAAAAAAAAAAAAAAAAAAAAAAAAAAAAAAAAGGUCAAGGAAUCAGAAAAGAAAGCCGGACGGAAAGCGAGGUCACAAUGAGGAAGUACCAAUGGCUACAGAAGCACAAACAGGAUACAACUGCUCUUAACACCCUUCCUGUCAGGCAGACCUCCUCCUCUAAAUGUGAUAAGCCUUGUGUGGUUUCCCCCUUACUUCUGCCUGCAGUGGGACUACUGGAGAAGCAGCGGCACAGCUGAUGCAUACUGCCAGGAAUGGGUAAAAGAAUCACUGUCCUAUCAGGCUUACAAAAUCCAGCAAAGCACAUUCUGCUUCUGGCUUGUUUUGAGCCAUCUGAGGGAUCAUUCCCAUGACACAUCUGGUCUCCAGCCACAUGAAUGGGCCUGUACUCUACAAGCAUGGCAGACAAAAACACCACUGGGGACGAAGUCACUUUGUGGCUUUGGAGCUGGUUCCCAAACAUGGACUGAUCCAUUCACCUGACUUCUUCCAUUAAGAAUAGUCAAAGCCCAAAACAGACAGACAAUUCACUGAACUCCUCUUUGCCUCCUCCCAGAGGCUGUCCUUAUUGAAUGUUGGCCUUCCACGUGGCAGCAUAUGCGUGUUCUGCUUUUGGGAAGCUGUCACUGUGAUGUGAACUUGGAAGUAGAAAAAAAGAUCCCCUGCAAACUGUUAUCUGUACACUCAGAAGAAAGGUAACUACAACCAUGGCAUUAUAAAAACAAAUAUUUUCACUCUGUACAGCAGAGGGAGGAGAGUAUAGUCCAGUUCUAAAGGAAAAAGAUGAGAGACUGUAGUGUUUAUUUAUCCUGAAUUCCCUCAAAACAUAAAUAGCAAGGGUAAGCACAACUAGACAGUUGAAGCUGCAUGUGGCUCCUCUAUGACAGUAUGCAGUGUGUGGGAGAAAUGUGCUGAGUAAAAGAAUGGCCAACAGGAAGAGCCACAGUCCCUAUGGAGCACAAAAGAAAGAGUAAAAAAAACCCUGCAUAUUGUGUAAGACAGAACUGCUUGCGUUUUUCCAAUUAGAGACCGGGAUAUUGUGUGGAACCAUAUAAAAAGCCUUGCUGAAGUCCAGGUAGAUUACAUGAGUUGCUCUUCAUCUACUACUGCCAUCCUUCCUUUGCAGAAGGCUACCAAGCUGGUCUUUUCCUGCAGAUGCUGUAGAUGUGCAGUGACUGUGGAGCUGUGGUUGGCCCCUCCUGGAAAAGCCACCCCUGGCUAUGCUUUCCUCAGCUCUUUGCCAGAUCCACUUGAUGGGGUGUGGAUUACUUUUCCUGUUGUCAAAGCUCUGCUCUGUUCCCUCUGGAGAGCUUUUUCCUUAAUGUAACAUGAAUCCUGACCUAAAACUUUGAAUCCACCUGACACGGCUCUAUGACAAAGCUGCCUUCAGCCAGGCCCAGGGUAAGAGGGUCUGUGCAAAUGUGGACGGCCAAGCUGGAGGGGAUGGCUGCUCACUCACCCUGACAUGGGGUGCAAGUCAAGCUGUGGGUCGGAACUGAGACUGGUAGCGAGAGUAUUGAUUUCACUCUGUGAAUGGCAUUAGAUUGUAGCUUGACCUUUAAAGUUCACCUUGUUUUAAUAUUAGAUGUUUGACUGGUACUGGAGCCAGUGUGCUGUCACAUCCAUUCAUCCUGUUGCAUGGUCAGUUCACAUUUUUUUGACGGUGAAUCACUGCAUCAGUUCAAAACAGUUUCCACCCAUGGUUGGUUGGACAGUGCUGAAAUGCACAACAAACAUACAGUGGCUGGUGCCUGUCCUAUCAGCCCAGCUCAUCCACAGGACAAUGCUAGUGAAUGCAGUGAGCUGGCAGGAAAAAUGACCUUAUUUCCAUUUCCUCCACAAUCCCUUACUUAUUUUUGUUCCUGUGCCAGUUGUAAUCAUGAAGACAUGGAAAAAGCCAGCAAGCAAACUGAUAAGGGAGAAAAAUAUCUGGUAAAGAGGACAUUGCAGGACACUCCUCAGCCCAACUUGGCGACGGAAGCCUUCCAAGCAUGAACUAAGUGUCACGAAUGCAAUGACGUCUUCCUAAGGCAGCAGGCAGCCCAAAACAAUAGGCUCAGGCCAGUUCCCAAUGUUCUUUCUUCUGGAGUGGAGCUGCAGAGCCUGCCUGCAGGCUUCUGAAUUAGCACUGACUCUCAUCUCUGAGGCUUCUGCAGUUCCAGUGGAAAUGGGCAGAAUUCCUUCUUCCCCAGCCUUGAUCAGCAGCUGCGAUAGGGAACACAAAGGUCCUGGUGUGAUGGGUGCCAAGCAGAAGUGAGGGAAAAGGGCCAGUCUGAGAUGAGCCACCAUGUUCAGAAAAGAUGAAGGAGUUGCAACGGAUGUGGUUUAAACAAGGAGAGUUUUGGAUGAUUUUUAUCAACACAUGACAAUGGCAACAACAACAUAGGAACACCACGUGCAGUUCUGGCAUCUUUCUAAGAAAGAAGAAAACUUUUUUCUGUUUUUUUGAAAGAGCACCUACAAAGAGGAAACCAAAAAAUAUAUGUGUAGUCUGGUUGAGUGACUAAAGACUUUAAUUUACCUUAACUACAUAAUCCCAUUUAUUGACCUCUAAUAUGGACGAGAUCAGAAUUUAAUAGUUCCCCCCAGAGUUAGUUAUUAAUUUGUGAAAAGCAGAAGGAGGUCUUGCUUCAUUAUCUACAGUGCGUUCCUGGUUCCUCACCAGAAGUCCCUCAUAUGCCAACACAACAGGGCUCUGUCUCUCCAACGGGACCUUCCACUGUGUAGCUUUGUUUGCAUCAUUCAUCAUGCCUCCUUCAUUCUGUAGCUGCAAGACCACAGCUGGAACUCUCUGUGACCUCGUACCAGAUUUUCAAAGUGACACCAAGACUGUACUAUCUUUACUAUGCAUAAUACACUUUGGACAGCUUGGCCACCAGGCACUGACAUACCGACACCAAGAAACCUGCCUCUUGCCAGCAGAUAAGCACAGUAGAACGCUUGAUCCAGGGGAGGCUUUCCAGAGACCUUCUCUGGGCUUAGUGAUGUGUGAGUCCUUGAAAAUUUGCCAUUUUUGCCUCUGGAAACCUGCUUAAUAAGUGUUAGCUCUGAUUUCUGGACUAAAAUAGAAAUAGUUCUGAAAGUAUCAGCAAGAGCUCAAAUUCAUUAACAGAUAUUUAAAACUUAUCCCCGUCACAAUAAUUGCUCAAAAACCUUGAAUGAAAUUGUUUACAAUGAUUACAGUAUCAAAAGGAACGUUCCCUUUGAUGUAUUCUUUUGAGUACUUACAUCCACUAACUUUCUUAUGUGCUUGUUGAUGACGGUUGGGUCAGGCUUAGGUACCACUCCAGAUGCCCACUCCAGUGGCACCACUGGUUUGCUUGGGGUUGUUGGGGAGGUAGGCUGCUAGGAGACCAAUCAAACACAACGAUGUUAGAAUUUGAAUUAUGAAAUGUGAGUUCUCAUAACAAGCAGCACCAUAUGGCAGCACUGCAGCCAACUUCAACAGCAGUGAAACUUGGGGGCAGGAAGGAGAGUCUCUGGACACAAUGAGAAUCAGGAAUAGCAUAGAAACCUACUCUUCUUCAUCUUGAGAGAGCCCCUAAGGAUCCCGCCAUCACGAGAGGGAGAUAAACAAGCCUAAUGAAAAAUGUUUUAUUAUUGUGAUAAUAAGGAUAUCGUAGACUUUCACACUGAGAUGAAAAAGGGUCACAAGGUCAUACCAUACUGUGUUUGGUAGGAAAAAAAAAAGAAAGGAUGUGUUCUUGACUCACCAUAUUAGUGUGCUCAGGUGAGUUUAAGAAGAAAAUAAUCUCUAUAUCCACAGAACUGAAUUCCAACAAGAAACACUCAACACUCAACUCACUUAUGGAACAUUUUUAAUCCUAAGAUUAAUGUCACCAUACGGUGAUGAAACAACCUGCUGGCAAAUAUUUUUGCUCUAAAAACACACAGGAAUGCAGCAAUCUUUUAGAGACAACAUGUUAUACGAUAACACAAAACAUGCCAGUAUUGUGACAUCUGUGGUUUGAUGUGUUCCUUCUCUCAAAAAAAGUUUAGGUUAAUUGGGACUCAAAGAAUUAGCACACUGGUGCUGGACUACUACAGACUCACAGAGAGCUCCUGCUGCUCUGAGUAUACACAGUGGCAGAAAGAAACCAAAUCCACUGGAGCAUUCCUCUUUCUUCUGAACAAUCAAACUCUCACUCUCUCUCUCUCUCUCUAUAUAUAUAUAUUUGGUGCCAACGCUUAUAUGUUGGCAUUGAAAUCCAUCUUAUACUGAAGCAAAAUAUAUCUAUGCUAGUGCACCCUCAGUGGCAGAAUUGUGCUGGGCAGAGAUGCCCAUAAGCCAUUGGCUGUACAAGCAAAAAAAAACCAACAAACUAGGUAGUCCCUGGGUAUUCACUGAACACAGCAUCAAAGUCUCCAAUAACAGCUGGGUACUCAUACUACUUUGUAAUUCUCUUCACUUACAGUGGUGACCCACUCCUUCCACAGCACAGAGCUGUAAUUGCCCAACUUUACUGGCAAUGAAGGAAGCAAGAGGGAGCCAGAAUAACUGUGGCAAAGGGAACAGUUGUGGUCAAAUUACAUCCAAUGCGGACAGGAGACUCAUCAGCGAAAUUCCAGGUAUUCAGACUGAAUUAGUGCUGACUGUGGAACUACUCAAUAUUGCCCAUCAUCCUCCAUUGAAACCACACACAUGCAGUCUUCAAGCUGGUCUCCAAAAGUGAUGAACUAUUCUUAAAGUCAGGCAAUCAAGCAGAGAAUCUCUGUGAGUCAAUUAUUCUCCGCUGAGAGAAGCCCAAGCCCAGUCCCCUAGGAUACCCUGCCAAGAUCCAAGUAUUGUGCUGGUGAGACCUGAACUGCGGAACUCAUCAGACCUUCAAGAAGGGAUGUUCUGCUCAAUAUCUUUACAUUUGGUUGUCCACCAUACCUUUGUGACUUCCGAAGACAGAUGAGAAUGAGUCUCUUUCAGGCGAGAAAUAGAGCUAUGGCUAAGACCUCCCACAACUGCCAUCAGUGUGUUGAAGUUCUGGAGAUGAAGGAGCUUCUGUAGAAGAGAUGGAUCAUGAAAAAAUAAAAAUAAGGGUCUUGCUGUAUCACUUAAAACUUCAGCAUUUGAAUGCCAGGUAUUACUAAGGCAUGCAUGAUGAAUAUGAUUAUUACUUCUAUGGAAUCAUUUUUCCCCACGAUUUACUCAACACUUAAGACAUUUUAUUUUGUGCAGUUUUACUUGACAUCCUCAUACAAUUAUACUGUAUACAAAUGACCUAGUGCUACAAGCAAGAAGCAUAUAAAAAGGAGCUUUCACUUCACUUCAAUACCUGAUCAACAGCAUUACUGGGCGCUGCUGAAGUCAACAGGAGCUCCUAACAAGAGUCUGAACUGCAACUCAAGAAGCUAACUAUGCAUCAGUUUUCCUAUGUCUUCCUCCUACAUCAACUGAUCAAUUUGUAGCACAAGCAGCUAGUUCUGCUAAAUCUUGCUCAUUCUGAUAUUGUUCAUUCCUAUGUGUUCAUGGAUAUCGUUCCACACGGAUGGCUACCACUAGAAUUAGAUUUCCUGACAACUUCUGGAAAGUAUUCUUCAGCUCUCCCUUAAAUUUGGAUUUUCAGAAGCUUAUGAUGGAAUUUCAGCUUGUGUAGGGAGCUGUAGCAAUACCAGCCAACACUGACUUCUUGGUCAUCUUAGCUGCUAGAACUGCCUGCUAGAAGACAAUAUGACAGCAUAUUCUCUUACACAGUAAAUGAAAUGUAAAAAAAAAAAGUUUUGUUAAACAAUAUGAAUGCCCUUUCCUAGGACAGGGUCCUAUCUGCAAACAACAAAGUUUGAGGCUUCUUACAGAAAUUCUCCUAAAAGAUUUAUGCUCCAGAAAAGUGAGAUGUUCAGCUAGUUCAAUGGGCUCCAGAUGAUCAAAAAGUAGGCAGGCUUUUCCUUUCUUAGAAAUCUUCUUCCUUUGUGUAACUCUUCUCAUCCAGUCAUAGGAAGGUCUGCAAGAGAAAAUUAGACACAAUUCUCAUUUCUUUUUGGGGAGUAGCCAUCAGUAUACAUAAAAUUAUCAAGAGAGCUAUCUGUGGCUUCUAGCAGACAACACUCAGCAUAAGAUAACGUUCAGAUGUAUAAUGAGGAGUAAGGAUUUCAGAGAUCUCCUUUCUGCAUAAGAUGCAUGAUAUCAGGUUUCCAUCGGAAGAAAAGGACAAUGUACAGGAGGCUGUAAUUCAAAAGUGCCUUGGAAAUACAAGAAAAAUAAGUCAAAUUCUGAAUAAGACAAAAAAAAAAAAAAAAAAAAAAAAAAAAAGCCACCUUCAAUAACAUCAAGAAUUAAUUUUAACUCUGUAAGACCACAAGUCCAUAAAAUAACAGAACGGUAGAAAUGCCAUCAGUUGAACAACCACAGUAAGGUGUUUGUGCAUAACCAUGUAAACCGUUUGCUUACAAGUAAUGGAAUAACUCCUACCCAAAUACAGCAAAGGCACUUCAUAGAGCAGAAAGAGGUUCCUAAGUUAAAAUUUUAAAACUAAGAUUGAAGAGCUAAUAUUCAUGUGAUUUCACUGGCAUUCGUGCACAAAAUUUUGUAGACUUCACUGAGAUUAGUUGGGCCAUCAUUCCAGGUUGCUACGCUGAUUUUUAAAUAAGGAAAAACAAUUUUGACUGUGCCAUAUUUUAAAAGAAAAUCUACAAUAUCAGGUAAGAUAUAAGAGCCUGUUUGGUGAUGUUAAAAAGGUAACUUCUUAGAAGUCAUGGUAAUAGUAGUAUAAGCACUUCAAUGCAAGAAAAUUACACAUGUCAGUGCUAAAGAUUAUUGAAUUAAAUAAUAGAAAAUAGCACACAGAAAGGCAUUGGAAAAAACAGGUAGGUUACAGAUACGAGAAUAAAAAAGCUUCCAUAAGAAAAUACAAGAUUUACACGAUGUGCCAAUCACUGCGUUGCUUGUCAUUCUGUAUGAAAAGUAACAGGAAGAAAGUAAUAUUAAUCAUUUAAUUAGCACUAGGUUUUUCAAAAGAAUCAAGAAAAUUAUUUCUUUACCAUUUACAUUGAAUACUUAUGCACAGAUAAGAGAUUGCAGUGUCAAACUACGUGUAGAAUUCCAAAUUUAGACGGUAAGAGAAUUUUUUUUUGUAAAUGAUUGUUUGCUUUCUCAAGAUUAGGAUGGCCUUUAAUACUUUCAUAUUUUGGACAGAAUUAGAAUUCUGCUGCUACAGAGAACAGAGGUAAAGAUGAUAAAGCUCAUGACAUUCUUACAUGCUGGAGAUAUCAAUGAGAUCGAUGUGAUCCUCAUAGCCAAGCUGGCUGGCUAAUUCUCGAAAUUCUUCAGUCAAACGAAUCAGCCCGAGAUCCAAGUUAAAUUCUGCAGGAAAUUCCAGAAUCCAGUAUCUGAAAUUGACAUAAAUAAGUUCAGAGACACCUAGGGAUUCAGGUGUAAUAUUUAGUGGCUGUACAGAGUUACUCACAUUUUAAUCAACAGAACUUAAGAAUAUUUCAGACAGAGUGGUUUUGGGGCAGAGAGGGUGUGCAACCCCAGCCUGCUGAUGCUGUACUUCUCUCUGACAUUAAUGACAAAGACUUUAAAAAUAAACAGUCACGGACCUAGAAAAACAGGGGCUGUACCACUGUUCUUUUAGUAGCUGAAUCAACAGUCUCAAGUAACUCCAAAAUAUUCUAGCUUAUAACUGACAACAGGAUUGUUGACAUCAUGCAAUCAAAUUAUCAUAUAAUUUUCUUCAUUUAAUUCACCACAGUACCAUACAGGAGCACUCUUUUGAAAUGUCAAAUUAAAAGAUGCAUGGGGUGACACACAAAAGGCAGCCACACCACACCUACCCCAACUCACACUGCCAGGGCACCCAAAUGACUUGCAUUUGUCCCUUGUUUAAGUGAGACACUGUGCUCAGAAAAAGAUUUUCCAGUGAAAAUGAAAACGUGAAGUUAAAGUGGCAGCACUACCACGAUAACCAUGUAAACAAGGCAAUUCCUCUUCUAUUUAAGAGGGCAGGAAAAAGGCUUUGUCAGUGCUACUUUCAGUACCUCUCUCCCAUUCCAACACAGUGAUAUAAUUUAGUCAUUUGUUUGAGGGAAGCAGGUUGUAGCGUGUUAGCUUAAAAAUUCAUACUUUCUAUUUUAUGGAGAAAUGCUCCUAACCAAGCACAGCCUAACCAGGGACAGCUUUCCUGUAGAAACAAAGUCAGAGACAAUUAGGUGCAAAGAUCAGAACAAAUCUGAUCUGUAAAAGCUUUGACAUCUCUAACAUACUUGUGUCAUCAUAAAUUACACACAGAUUAUUUGAACCGAAGCCAACAGCCCAGAGAUAAACUUCCUCCACCAAAAUAGAUGAUACAUGGAAGUAAAAAGUGUCACUGUUCUGUGUGGCACUGACCUCAUCUCCCUGUCAGAGGUGUCAUGCUCAAACACCAGGUAAUACACGGCACAAGGUUUCAAUCAGCUGUACAGUACAUGCACAGUUACAUGUCUUAAGCACUGGUUCUGCUGAAACCAUUGUUUUCAAAGCACAGUAAUUCACACUUUACUACAGACUAGAGAUCAAAUAAAACAAUAACUUUUUUAAACAUUAGGAAAAUAAAUUACAAUUAUAGUAUUCACAGCAAAUAGAAAACAGAAGCGUGCCUACCUCAUGAAGUAGCAGAUUUUUAGUCUGAAUUCAUUGCAGUUCUCCCCACUGGCAUCUCUAUAUGUAUUCUAGUUAAAGAAAGCUUUAGGUGCCUUGAUUCAGUAAUGUGGUUUUUAUCUACAUCAGACAGUGACUCUAGACCAGUUGAACAAAACCAGUAUUAAAAACUUUCCUUCAACAGACAACUACAACAUCAUCUGAUAUUCAUUUACUUACACAGUAUCUUAAGACAACGACAAUUUCUUGGCUGCCAUUUUGGUUUUUGCCCUUGCAAAAAUGCCUCUAUUGCACUGUUCUGAGUACUCUGCUGAACAAUUUUGAAGACACGUAGGUACUGAGCUACCACUGAAAGCUCGUAUUGGUCCAAUACCAGCCUGCCACUAUAAAUUUGAAAAAUUAUCUUGGCAACAUUUUUCCAUUUAUUCAAAGAUAAUUCAAAGCAUGCCUCAGCAAACUUGUUCUUAUGGAAAAUAUCUACAACCAAAAGCCGAAUGAAGCUCCCGGAUUUCCAUGUUUUAGGGUGAAAGAGUCAAACUCUGUUUGUUACUAAUUAAGUAACAAAUUUUUACAUGCAGUCGCAGAAACAAUCUGCUUUCAACACUGUAAUGCUGACUUGCAAGACUUCCUGAAAGGAUAUGUAGACAGAAGCUUGACAGCCAGCUCUGUGGAAGGCAGGUACCAGCGAUGCAUUAGAAGAAAGAUUCUCGGCAAAUGGCUGGAGCAUUGAUUUCCUCUGUCAUCUGAAAAAGAGCAACAAGGGAAUGAACUUCUUAGCUGCGAACAGAGAAGCGUGUGUCGUUCAAGUGGAGAUAAAAAAAAUAUCAGAAGUUAAAAUCUUGGGCCAUUAUUUACCAAACAGACAGGACACAAAAGCAAAGCACACAAAUCCUCCUUUAGAGGAAACUAUUGCUAGACUGUAGUGCUGUAGGGAAAAGAAAGUCCAGACAACAGGCAUGGACAUGUCUAGCAUAUAAGCUAAAUGAGUGCAAUGAGACAGUGGGUUACACAAAUAACAAAUCUAAAGUUAGUCCACUGAAAGGGCAGGGAGAUGGUUUAUCCAAAACCACUUACAAGGUUUGUUUAGGUGCAGCUGCAUAUUAACCACUAGAUUGUUUAAAAAGAUGGAUCAAAAGCAACACUUCAGUCCGUAUGCAGAUCACACCUCCAGCUGCUGUACAGACUCUCCCAGUUUCUGCAGUGUAGCCACUGAGGCUGUGGAAGUUACUCCCUGGCUGGUUGCCUGGCUGUUCACACUCCAUAGCACCCACAAUUCUGUGUUAUUUUCUCUCUGUUGCUAUUUCAGUAGACAAUAGUCUACAUGUGUGUAUGAAACAGGAACCACAUACAGACUAGAGCUGUCAAGAGAGCAUGCAUACAUAGAAGAGAGAUAUUACUCCCAAGAGACAUGAAGUAUAUUGGUUCUGCUACCUCUCACUAGGUAUACAGGACAGCAGGUCUGAUCAUGGUCUACAAAAAAUGGAUAUACAGAGAUGCAGUAUGCUCAAGAACCAAAUCUGGCCCUUAAAUAUUUAAUUCCUCUCAUCUUCGGAUGCUUCCUUCUCUCCAAAAGGGAAAAAAACCCCAAACCAACAGCCCUCAAUCAAAUCAAAGUCUGUCUUGUGUUCCAAGAGACUUUAAAUGUAGCUUUGUGAAUUAAGAACCCAUUUCAAAGCAUAUAAGUAUAUCCAUGAACUCAUCUCAUCUGGCUAUAGGGUGACAUAAUUCUUGAUUAAUGGCACUGUGGAUCAAGGUCUACUUCAUCACUUCUUUCCUUCAGACCUGGUACACUACAUUUAAAUAAGAGUAAAAUGAUUACAUGAGCCUUGAGUCAUAUUAUUUCCAAUUAUUGCAUGAUGAUUUGAAAAACGUUUCAGAGUAACAACUGGUCAGAAAAGCAGCUGUGUAACCACUCAAGACAAAGCCAGAAAUAACUCCUUGAAUCAUUCAAUUAAACAUUUGUUUAGUUUUAAAACCACUAUACACAACAUUGCGCUUUACCUGUAUUAAAUUUUCUUAACGCAAUAUGCAUAUGACUAAAAUUCUGGCCUGCAUAAUUCUGGGACAAAAUGAAACAUGGAAAAUUUUACAGAAUGGAAAUGUUUGCCAAGGGAAAGACUGCCUAAAUCAGAGAACAGCCGGGGUUAUGCUAUAAGAUGAAUUCAAAGAACAACAGCAAAGCAAAGUAUUGAGAACACUUACCAAACAUUUCAAUACAAGCGUUCAAAAGCUCAUCUAAUGUUGCAGCCUUCCCAAGUGUGUUUGACCCCAUUGUUCUUUAAUCGUUGUCAAAAAAUAAGAGGCAUUUUCACCAAGUAGAAAAAUGCUUCUUCAGUUCUUCAGCUGCACAGUUUUUUCAUUUUAUUGUUGGUUGUGUUCUUAUCUGGGCUUCCAGGAAAACCUGCAGAGAGAAAGUAAAGGAAAUCAUAGCUAUAUGGCUACAUGAGAGAGUUAUCAGGAUGCAGCAUUUACAGUUUAAUUCAUCUUUUCUGCAAACUGUUUUUAUCCCCUCACAUGACACAGACCACGUGAAAGACUGCUGUAAGAUUUCUAUACAUUCCAGCUUGUGUUUUUAAGUGUUUUCCAAUU